RNAcentral lists this ribosomal RNA (108 nucleotides) under Cavia porcellus (domestic guinea pig). The record is from RNAcentral. Lineage: Eukaryota; Metazoa; Chordata; Mammalia; Rodentia; Caviidae.
GUCUAGAGGCAUACCACCCUGAACGCACCCGAUCUCGUCUGAUCUCAGAAGCUAAGCAGGGUCGGGCCUGGUUAGUACUUGGAUGGGAAAAACAUAAACAUAUAGCCA